UACGGAGGGUGCAAGCGUUAUCCGGAUUCACUGGGUUUAAAGGGUGCGUAGGCGGGCAGGUAAGUCAGUGGUGAAAUCUUCGAGCUUAACUCGGAAACUGCCGUUGAUACUAUCUGUCUUGAAUAUCGUGGAGGUAAGCGGAAUAUGUCAUGUAGCGGUGAAAUGCUUAGAUAUGACAUAGAACACCGAUUGCGAAGGCAGCUUACUACACGAUCAUUGACGCUGAGGCACGAAAGCGUGGGGAGCAAACAGG
RNAcentral lists this ribosomal RNA (253 nucleotides) under uncultured bacterium. RNAcentral's name for it is "partial 16S ribosomal RNA". It matches the Rfam family "Bacterial small subunit ribosomal RNA", at positions 524 to 776 of the family's 1533-position model. The record is from RNAcentral.